UCCAAACUGUUUGCUAUUCUGAUAGUAUUCUUUGAAAAAAAAUCAAAGAAAAUGCUAAUUUUAGAAAUUCAGCAGAAGACAUUUUAGCAGACGACAAAUUUCCCAGCAUGCAAAGGGUUAAGAAUAUGUAAGCUGCUUGUUUUACUGUUGGGUGUUACUUUAUGACAAGAAUUUUGAAUCAGUAUUUUGAAUUUUAGAUUUGUUCAUUGACUUUGAAUGUUAUCUUAUUUUUAUUUGGUCAUAAUUGGUGCAAAUAUAUUUAUUUUGUGUAUAUGUGUAUGUUUGCAUGAGUUUGCUAAUGGGGUGGGUGAGGUACAGGUUUUGAAAAUAAAAGAAAUGAAUUAUAGUUAGUUGAGAAUAAAUUAUUAUUUUUUAAUUAGGCCUCCUUUGCUAGUAUAUUGUUAAAGAAACAAUCUAAGUACCUUUGAAAGGUAGCAGAAAAGUUGCCCUCGAGUAUCAUAUGUUUAUAAAUAUGCAUUGAGCUUUACUGUAGUUUAUUAAGAUGUUUGACCGGUGUAUACUAUAAUCAAGUGACCAUUAUUGGAGCAUUGCUGUGGGAAAACAGGGCUUAAUGUGUGCACUUUGGCCUCAACUGGAUAUUUGCUAGGAAAACCAUUCCGUUUAGCAAAUGAUACCACAAAAGUAUAUAGAGAAUAACAGGUUGGUGACGUGGAUGGAGAAUGGUUAUCUGGCAAGUUGGAGGAAGUUGAUCCUCCGACGAGCCAGAUAACCAUUCUCCAUCCACGUCACCAACCUAUUAUUCUAUUUAUCCUGUCACAUUAACAACAUUCGUUGAAAUGUUUGUAAAAUACAUAGUUUUCCAGUAUUUUGUGUUUAAAUAUUUAAUAUGGGAAAAAACACCCUGCAGCAAAAACAUUGUGACGUCACGUCAUGCAAAACGCUUAGGCUAGCUUCCGUCUUGUUAAACAACACAGAAAUCGAGUCAAUCGUUUUUAAUUCAAUACACAAAGACGAAAUUAUGCUGUUAAAAUAAUAUUUUUUAAACAAACAGUACUUUACAUGUAUGUUGUAAUUUUUUUAAUUGAAAACAAGUAUAUUUUAUAAAUAGAAAAUAGUACAGGCGUGCGCAUGCGCGGACAGCAACUGACAGAUAUUAGAGGUUAUUAGGUUACCUGGUUAUCGGGCUGAUUUAAAGGCAUGUGACAGGAUAAACUGUAAUCUUUGAAUAGCCUGUGCAGGCUGCAGAGGCUAAUAUGGGACAACACAUAAUGUACACAUUAAUGCAUUCAGCAACUGUCUCCCAGAGCAAGUUUUAAAGUUUUAAAGGGACACUGCAUGAUAUGCAAACUUGUUACAGCUUUUGUUUUUCAUAUUGUUUUGUGUUCGAAAUCACCCAUACAUGUAUUCCAAUUUGCAUUCCAAGAAGCAUGCAUUUCAGGGCUCCAACUGACAAAACAUUUUCUUUUGCCAAAUUAACUGUUGAACACAGUUAUUUUUCACAUUUUAUCAAUUUUAUGGGGGUUUUAUGAUAAAAAAUUUGCAGCCAAAUGGAAAUUUAAUGAGCCAAAUGUUCACAUUUGUAGCCAUUGGCUAAUUUGGAAAAUGACAGAGCAAGCUCUAUAAUUAGGCCACUUGCUUGAAAUUUGAAUUUUAAAUGUGAAUAGGAUUAACUCUGUUUCUGGAAUGGUUUUAAACAAUUAGUAUAAAUCCAGUAUGUUGGUGUCAAGGGUCUUUAAUCCUUUCCCGCUCAUAAGCAAAGUAAAGUGGCUAUGUGCAAACAAUAUAAAACCAGAACAGCCAGCGAGUUACUUGCAGUCUGUUCGGGUUUUAUGCUGUUUGCUGCUCAUCAGUAUCUUAAGGUUGGAAAUUAAGCGUUUAAAACUUGAAUCAAGUAAGAAAGGUCUUUUAUUAAAAACGUUCAAAGGGACCACAAGUAAGUCAAAAUACCUAUCUAUAAGUGGUAAAGGUUAAAUUUCCCCAGUGUAUGUAUAAGUGUUUGAAUGAUUUCAUCACUUAUUAAUUUUAAUAGAAAGAUUCUAUUCCAUUGUAAUGUAUCACUUGGAAGUAGAAGAUAUAUAGGAUCUGGCACAAGUUGUCAUAUCAUACCAUAUUUUAUUAAACGAGUCCAGGAAAUUCGUUAGUGAGCUCACCAAAGGCUCGCUUACUUACAAAAUUCCUGAACUCGUUUAAUAAAAUAUGGUAUGAUAUGACGAGUGUCAGAUCUUUUUUAUCACACGCUUUUAAAUGCGCAAAUUAAAUAAAUAUUUAGGUAAACAUAAUGAUAAAUCCCGAAUGUUGUUUACAUUUCCUGACGUCAUUGUACGUUGCAACGUCAUUUCAGCAAAAUAACAAAAUGCGAUUGGUCAAUAAACAAUAAACAAAAACUAAGACAUUGUAAACGCUUAAAAAGUAUAUAACACAUGUGUAAGAUAAAAAUAUUCGUAAUGGUUAUAUAACAUAGGAAACAGGGUAUGGCAUGUGAUAAAAUAAUAACUCCGCAUAAUUAAGACAAAUAGCUAGCUAAAUGUACUGUGACAUUAAUAUUAUUAGUCGGACACUAAAUGCUUGUGUGUCCUCUAAAGCAUGAAAUCAAAUGUUAAAGGAACAUUGCCUGCAGAAGUUUGUCAGACAUUCAAACUAAAUUAUACAAACAUACAAAAUUACCGUUUACAUACGAACGUAUGUGCCUGAUUUUAGGAAUGGACAAAAUUUAAUGAUAUGACAUUAAAUAAAUCUACAGUAAUUAAAAGAUUAUCUAUAGAUAACAAUCUUAGGACAAAGCAGCAGAUGUUAAAUUACUGGCAUUUUAACUUAUAUUAUAUAUUUAAAUUAAGUGCAGAUAAUCCCAGUUUCAUUUUCAACCAAGACAUGUCAUUUAUUUUCAGUUCAAUACCAUCUGAAAAUGUGUAUAAGCAAACUCAGAUUUUUAAAAACAUAAUGAUAUUAUUUGAACAUAACAAUUAUUUAUAAUGUUCAAACUUUCAUUAAGAUUAAAUAUUUGUAAAAUAAAUUAAAGGGCAUUAACACAUGUUUAUGUAGAUAUUGAAAGAGGCAUAUUAACGUUUUUUUCCCAUUGAAUGUAUAUAAUUUAUAUUAUAUAGACAUCUUUAAAAACAGUGGACGUUUCCUCUCUUUACACACAAACAUGCCAUGAUCUAGGAAAAUGAGGUCUUCAGUUUGCACAGGCUAAUCUGUUUACAUAAGUUUCUGUUUUUGCAAUGAAGAGAUUUCCUUUACAGGAAAAAUACAAUCAAAGUGGAAAGUACUGUCUUCCCUUUUUUGAAUGUGGGGACUGCAUAUAAAAAUAGGACUUAUACGGUUAGCAUCCAUUUAUUUAGGAAAAUAUAAUACCAUAUUAGCCAUCAAAUUAUACCUCUUAUCAAUAUGCCUCUUUAUGUAUUAUUUUAACCUGUAUACAUCCUGCUGGUGCCAUUCCAAUAUUUCAAUAGAGAUGUCUAUGUUCACAUUGUUGCUCCAAUAUCAAGUUACAUGUAUAGAUUAUUUAAUUCGUGAAACUAUACCAGUAUGUUAAUUCGGUUUUGUGGUACAUGAAAUUUGGUAUGUUGUCUUUAUGUACUCAAUUUAUUCCUUAGUAUUUUUUAAACAGCAGAGAAUUAAAUUGAAAAAAGAGCAAAACUUGAGGUAUAUUAUGAAUAAUGUAGCAGUCUUUUCCAAAUGCCCCUUUUUGUGUUCCAGUUAAAACUAUGUAUGAGCCGCCAAAUGUGAUUUGAGUUUUAUGCCAAAUGUGGCCAGCGUAGCUCCAGGCCAGCAAGGACAUCAGUGCAGCCUGAUGAGUAGCUAUCCUGUCCACUGUUAAGUCAUGCAAGGUUUCGUAGUCUCACGGGCGGACAGGUUUGCUCCUGAACAGACUGUGCUGAUGUGCUGGUUUUGAGCUACACUGGCCGCAUAUGGUGUUUGUUGCUUUAUGUUGCUUCUAUAAGAAGUACCACAAAAGCUUCUUUGUUUAAAUAUGAGUCUCAUAUUAUUUCCUGUUCUUAACAGUGUUUUUAAUUAAUUUAUUCUUUAUUUUUCAAAUUCCGCAUUUUGAGUUAUAUAUAUGCAUUUCCUUUUUGUUGAGUUCCUAAUUUUUUAUAGGAUUAACAGUAGUAGAAAGUUGCCAUAAGAUGCUUAUCUUCUAUUAAAAUUCUGAAAAUAUGAUAAAAAUAAGUAUAAUUUAAGAUUAAAUGUAUCGUUGCACUUGUAUUCAUAUUUUUACUGCCAAAUAUUAACUAUGUGUGCUUGUGCUGCAUUGGUUUUUAUGUCCCCCACUAUAGUAGUGGGGGACAUAUAGUUAUUGCCCUGUCUGUUGGUUGGUCUGUUGGUUGGUUGGUUUGCGCCAACUUUGACAUUUUGCAAUAACUUUUGCUAUAUUGAAUAUAGCAAAUUGAUAUUUGGCAUGCAUGUGUAUCUCAUGGAGCUGCACAUUUUGAGUGGUGAAAGGUCAAGGUCAUCCUUCAAGGUCAGAGGUCAAAUAUAUGUGGCCCAAAGCACUUAUUUUAUGAAUACUUUUGAAAUAUUGAAGAUAGCAACUUGAUAUUUGGCAUGCAUGUGUAUCUCACGGAGCUGCACAAUUUGAAUGGUGAAAGGUCAAGGUCAUCCUUCAAGGUCAGAGGUCAAAUAUAUGUGGCCCAAAUCGCUUAUUUUAUGAAUACUUUUGCAAUAUUGAAGAUAGCAACUUGAUAUUUGGCAUGCAUGUGUAUCUCAUGGAGCUGCACAUUUGAGUGGUGAAAGGUCAAGGUCAUCCUUCAAGGUCAAAUAUAUGGGUCAAAAUUGCUCAUGUAAUGUCACUUCUUCAAUAUUGAAGCUAGCAAUUUUAUAUUUGAAAUGCAUGUGUAUCUCAUGGAGCUGCACAUUUUGAGUGGUGAAGGGUCAAGGUCAUCCUUCAAGGUCAAACGUCAUAUAGGGGGACAUUGUGUUUCACAGACGCAUCUUGUUGUUGUUGUUUUUGUAUAUGUUCAUUUACAGUAUUGUUUUUUGAUGUCCCUUAAUUUGAUAUAAUUAUUUUUGUUUGUGUGGAAAGUCAUGUGCUUAUUGGGAAUAUUUAAGUCUGAUGAAUAGGUCCAUAGUGAUCAAACAUUCUUAGACUUACCGUAAGAAUCAAGAAUAGACUUAGAUCCAAAACAAACAAACUUUCCAGAUUGCAUUCAUACAGAUAAAACAGCCAACCAAUUGUGUUAAUCUCAUCAACAAAGUUUUUGAAAUAAAGCUGCAAUGAUCUAAUAUGAGGUGCUCAAUCAAAAAUUCAGACUGAGCAAUAUAGCAUUCACUGUAUGAAAACUAUUCUGUAUAUGGGCCAGUUAUUGGGUGUUGUUUUAUAGGAGAGUUAAUUCAUGUUCUUGUCAAGUACAUAUAAAAUACUUAUUCACACUGAUGACAAGACCAGUGUAGCCUGUAUUUGAGACUCGUUCUGGGAAAACUGGACUUAAAGCAAGUGCUUAAAGUGUCGUCCCUGAUUAGACAGUGUUGGCCACAUAGGCUAAUUUGGGAUUACACUCUCUGCCUAUAUUGAUUUUCCCUAAGAAAUGACUUUUUAUGAAAAUUGCCAUUAAAGUGUGAAGAAUAUUUCUGUGCAGACUUUACAGUCUUAUCUGGGAUGACACUAUACGCACAUGCAUUAAGCCCAGUUUUUCUCAAAACGUGGCAUAUUUAAAAUAAUGUUGUUUUCAGUGUUAUUUUUAUGAUAGUUUAAUGUCUUUUUGAUAGAAAUUUAAUUGAUUCACACACACAUACAUCUUUACUCAAACAUUUUCACUGCAUAAAAACUAAUUUUACAUUUGUUGAAGUCAGUUUUUAGGUACUGUAAGUACUGCCUUUAAUUAGUUGCAGUCUCAAUAAUGAAUUUUGUUACAUAGUUGUGAUAUUAUAUUUUUAUGUUCAUGCUCUUUUCAGAACUAUAAGUAAUAUUACAUAAUUUAUUGUGUACAUUAUGUAUUUAAUACUCAUAUUAUUUAACUUUGGAGGUGUAUUGGUGAUGCAUGCAUGUUAAAUGACCUGAUAACAGCAGUUUUCUUUAUUAUCAAAUGAAUACUAAUGUUGUCACAUAAAAUUUGAUAGGAACACUGCUAUUUUCUGUAUAAUUAAUUAAUGCUGUGAAGCCAAGCCAGGUAGCAAGCAAGCAUUGAAAAGAAGCAAACCAUGUGAACAAAUACAUGUUUCAUACUUUCACAUGCUCAACGCUUGUUACAUACCAGUAGUAGUUAUAUAAAUGUUUUUAGAAAUGAGCCGUGCUCUGUGAAAAAGGGGGUUUAAUGCAUGUUCGUAAAUUGUCGCCCCAGAUAAGCCUGUGCAGGCUGCACAGGGACAACACUUUCUGCUUAAACUUGAUUUUUGCUUAGACGAGACUGACUUGAAACAAAACAUGUCAUCAGAGUGGAAUGUGUUGUCCCUGAUAACCACAGGCUCAUCUGAGAGGACACGUGCAUUAAACCCAUAUUUCACUGAGCACAGCACAUAUUAUUUCCUGUGUAUUAACGGAUUCAGAUUGAAAUAAAGUGAUUGUAAACAAGUA
Long non-coding RNA from Dreissena polymorpha, 6469 nucleotides. RefSeq lists it as uncharacterized. NCBI's taxonomy places the organism in Eukaryota, Metazoa, Mollusca, Bivalvia, Myida, Dreissenidae. The transcript is spliced from 2 exons. The record is from RefSeq and is a predicted model, not a curated record.